RNAcentral lists this unclassified non-coding RNA (258 nucleotides) under uncultured fungus. RNAcentral's name for it is "partial contains small subunit ribosomal RNA, internal transcribed spacer 1, and 5.8S ribosomal RNA". The stretch from base 1 to 73 matches the Rfam family "Eukaryotic small subunit ribosomal RNA", at positions 1759 to 1831 of the family's 1831-position model. The record is from RNAcentral. Lineage: Eukaryota; Fungi.
UCAAACUUGGUCAUUUAGAGGAAGUAAAAGUCGUAACAAGGUCUCCGUUGGUGAACCAGCGGAGGGAUCAUUACAGAGUUUUUUAACUCCCAAACCAUUGUGAACUUACCACUGUUGCCUCGGCGGAAGCUGCCCUGCAGCGGCCGCCGGCGGACCACUAAACUAUUGUUAUUUUGUUGGCAUCUGAGCGUCUUAUUUUAAUAAGUCAAAACUUUCAACAACGGAUCUCUUGGUUCUGGCAUCGAUGAAGAACGCAGC